CUGGCCUCAAAUCAGGUAGGGCUACCCGCUGAACUUAAGCAUAUCAAUAAGCGGAGGAAAAGAAACUAACUAGGAUUCCCUUAGUAACGGCGAGUGAACCGGGAUGAGCUCAAAUUUGAAAUCUGGCGUCUUUCAGGCGUCCGAGUUGUAAUCUAUAGAGGCGUUUUCCGCGCCGGACCGCGUCCAAGUCUCUUGGAAUAGAGUAUCAAAGAGGGUGACAAUCCCGUACUUGACGCGACAACCGGUGCUCUGUGAUACGUUCUCAACGAGUCGAGUUGUUUGGGAAUGCAGCUCUAAAUGGGUGGUAAAUUCCAUCUAAGGCUAAAUAUUGGCGAGAGACCGAUAGCGAACAAGUACCGUGAGGGAAAGAUGAAAAGCACUUUGGAAAGAGAGUUAAACAGCACGUGAAAUUGUUAAAAGGGAAACGAUUGAAGUCAGUCGUGUGAAAGGUAUUCAGCCGUCUCUGGCGGUGUAUUUGCCUUUCACGGGUCAACAUCAGUUUAGUCCGGUAGAAAAAGGCUGGAGGAAGGUGGCACCCUCGGGUGUGUUAUAGCCUCCUGUCAUAUGUGCCGGAUUAGACUGAGGAACGCAGCUUGCAGCAAUGCCGGGGUUCGCCCACG
RNAcentral lists this ribosomal RNA (620 nucleotides) under Vishniacozyma tephrensis. RNAcentral's name for it is "LSU rRNA". It matches the Rfam family "Eukaryotic large subunit ribosomal RNA", at positions 1 to 607 of the family's 3401-position model. Lineage: Eukaryota; Fungi; Basidiomycota; Tremellomycetes; Tremellales; Bulleribasidiaceae. The record is from RNAcentral.